UACGUAGGGUGCGAGCGUUGUCCGGAAUUAUUGGGCGUAAAGGGCUCGUAGGCGGUUUGUCGCGUCGGGAGUGAAAUCCACUGGCUUAACUGGUGGCUUGCUUUCGAUACGGGCAGACUGGAGGUAUGCAGGGGAGAACGGAAUUCCUGGUGUAGCGGUGAAAUGCGCAGAUAUCAGGAGGAACACCGGUGGCGAAGGCGGUUCUCUGGGCCUGACCUGACGCUGAGGAGCGAAAGCGUGGGGAGCGAACAGG
RNAcentral lists this ribosomal RNA (253 nucleotides) under uncultured bacterium. Its description in RNAcentral is "partial 16S ribosomal RNA". It matches the Rfam family "Bacterial small subunit ribosomal RNA", at positions 524 to 776 of the family's 1533-position model. The record is from RNAcentral.